This 407-nucleotide long non-coding RNA is filed under the name Homo sapiens (human). RNAcentral describes it as "HSALNT0354713". The record is from RNAcentral. Lineage: Eukaryota; Metazoa; Chordata; Mammalia; Primates; Hominidae.
GAAUAUUUGCAGUGCCCCAAAAGUUUCCUUAGGCCCUUUCCAGUUAGCAUCACCCUCAGCAUCAAGAACACUGCCUGGCAUACAAUGGACACUCAAUCAAUAUUUGUUGAAAGAAAGAACAAUGGAAUGAAUGGUUGUAUUAACCAUCAUAUCUGGUGACAAACAAAACUUGACCAGGUGACAGUACGAAGACUCACAGUAGUGGGGAAGUCCUGUCCUCAAGUCCAUGCAGCUCAGGAGUGGGAGAACUUGGAUCUGAGUGAGCCCUGAUUGUCGCCUUGAGGACCACUGUAUUUUCAGAGCCUUGCCUUGCUUCUCAGAGGUGAGAGCCACCUCCAUUUCAACACGGCCAUUGCUGGAGCUGAGGCAGCCUCCUAGCGCCCCAAGCAGGACAGAUGCUCUUUGGC